GACGAACGCUGGCGGCGUGCUUAACACAUGCCAGUCGAACGGAGAGGCCCUGCUUUUGUGGGGUGCUCGAGUGGCGAACGGGUGAGUAACACGUGAGUAACCUGCCCUUGACUUUGGGAUAACUUCAGGAAACUGGGGCUAAUGCCGGAUAGGAGCUCCUGCUGCAUGGUGGGGGUUGGAAAGUUUCGGCGGUUGGGGAUGGACUCGCGGCUUAUCAGCUUGUUGGUGGGGUAGUGGCUUACCAAGGCUUUGACGGGUAGCCGGCCUGAGAGGGUGACCGGCCACAUUGGGACUGAGAUACGGCCCAGACUCCUACGGGAGGCAGCAGUGGGGAAUAUUGCACAAUGGGCGGAAGCCUGAUGCAGCAACGCCGCGUGCGGGAUGACGGCCUUCGGGUUGUAAACCGCUUUCGCCUGUGACGAAGCGUGAGUGACGGUAAUGGGUAAAGAAGCACCGGCUAACUACGUG
RNAcentral lists this ribosomal RNA (468 nucleotides) under uncultured bacterium. RNAcentral describes it as "partial 16S ribosomal RNA". It matches the Rfam family "Bacterial small subunit ribosomal RNA", at positions 28 to 507 of the family's 1533-position model. The record is from RNAcentral.